CAACCCCCCAAGCCCUGGCUGCUUGGUGUUGGGGCUUAAUCUGCAGCGCCUUUACGGCGGCUGCAGGCCCCUAAUUACAGGGGCGGACCCACCGAGGCCCCGGGCGCAGUGGUGUAUCUCCCCGCUCCAGGGCGCCGCGGCGGGCUCUCCUGCCGUAAAAACCCCACUAUUUUUCAA
This 177-nucleotide unclassified non-coding RNA is filed under the name uncultured Sordariales. Its description in RNAcentral is "sequence contains ITS2". The record is from RNAcentral. Lineage: Eukaryota; Fungi; Ascomycota; Sordariomycetes; Sordariales.